CUUCCUCCUCUUUCUCCGUCUCACUCUCUUUAUCACUGUCUUCUUCCAACCUCUUUCUCUCUCUCUCUCUCUUUCUAUCACACACAUUCACUCUCACUCACAUACACGGUCUCCUAUCUUUCUCUUUCUAUCUCUUUCUAUCUCUUUCUCUCUCACUCUCUCUUUGAUUCUGUCUCACACUCUUGCUCCCUCAUUCGCUCGUUCGUUCUUAACGUCAAACCACUUAGGGCCGCGAACCUCGGCAGUCAGUCGAUCUUUCUAACGGCAGCAUUUCGGCAUUUUCCAGCUGAUCGGGCGCGAGCGGUUCGCGGUUGUUAGUUCGACAAUCGCCAUUUUGUACGUCAGCACGCAUCGUGUGUGCUGUUGGUUGGUACGUCGUAAUCGUAGUCGGUGUUUUCGUCGCCGUCGGUUGCGUUGUCGUCGACGUCGUCGUCGUCGUCGUCGUCGUCGUCGUUGUCCUCUCGUCGCGUCGUCCUCGUUGUUUUCAUCGUCGGUCGUCGAUCGUAACGUCACGCCGGCGUUUCUCUCAUUGUACAUAUUACACAUAUAUAUAUAUGUAUGUAUAUAUAUAUAUAUAUAGUACACACAUCUAUCUACAUGUACAUGUGUUAAUUCAAAGUGUGUGUCGUUCCGCGACGCGCCGUUCCUCUCGUUCAUCUUUCUAUCUCUCUCUUUCUACCCGUUCGCGUUUUUUAAAGGAACACACAGGGUCCUCGUGGUGCGUGUGUAUGUGUUGCGUUGCGUGCGUGCGUGUGUGUGCGCGCGUUCUUUUCAACUAUUUUUCUCAUCCCCCUUCACACUUUACGAGCGCGUGCUCGUGUCACGAGGGGAUGUUUCGGAUUGGAUGAAACACCAAGAUAGGAAGGAGCGUGGGAUUGCAAAGUUACUCCAGUUUAAUAGCUACCUUCUUCUCGAUGUUAAGAAUUCUGCACUUAUAUACAAGAUAAUAAACGAGGAGCUGUUAGUAGGAUACAUUUAUGACAGAACGAAGUGUUACACUAGACACGUCAAAGGAAGUCAAGAGGUAAUCUUGACUAUUGCAAUUGGUGGUGGGGAGGAUCUUUGUUAUCGAUUAAAAGGAUAGAACGAUACCCACGACGAGGAGUUUGGGGUGGUGGCGGCGGAGGAAGGUGGAGGAGGGUGUACGGUGAAACUCAGCAACGGUGACGAGCCUAACGGCGGGAGUAACCGACGAAGAA
Molecule: long non-coding RNA, 1199 nt
Filed under: Polistes dominula (European paper wasp)
Lineage: Eukaryota; Metazoa; Arthropoda; Insecta; Hymenoptera; Vespidae
Description: uncharacterized LOC107070965, transcript variant X1
Source: RNAcentral